Molecule: unclassified non-coding RNA, 153 nt
Filed under: uncultured Ascomycota
Lineage: Eukaryota; Fungi; Ascomycota
Also listed under: 1 other name
Description: sequence contains ITS2
Source: RNAcentral
CAACCAUCAAGCCCCCGGGCUUGUGUUGGGGACCUGCGGCUGCCGCAGGCCCUGAAAAGCAGUGGCGGGCUCGCUGUCACACCGAGCGUAGUAGCAUAUAUCUCGCUCUGGGCGUGCUGCGGGUUCCGGCCGUUAAACCACCUUUUAACCCAA